UUGAAAAAUUAGAGUUUCAAAGCAGGCUUUGCUCGAAUACGUUAGCAUGGAAUAAUAGAAUAGGACGUGCGGUCCUAUUUUGUUGGUUUCUAGGACCGCCGUAAUGAUUAAUAGGGACAGUCGGGGGCAUCAGUAUUCAAUUGUCAGAGGUGAAAUUCUUGGAUUUAUUGAAGACUAACUACUGCGAAAGUCUUUGCCAAGGAUGUUUUCAUUAAUCAGUGAACGAAAGUUAGGGGAUCGAAGACGAUCAGAUACCGUCGUAGUCUUAACCGUAAACUAUGCCGACUAGGGAUCGGGCGAUGUUCUUUUUCUGACUCGCUCGGC
This 324-nucleotide ribosomal RNA is filed under the name Paraleptosphaeria dryadis. RNAcentral describes it as "SSU rRNA". It matches the Rfam family "Eukaryotic small subunit ribosomal RNA", at positions 757 to 1084 of the family's 1831-position model. Lineage: Eukaryota; Fungi; Ascomycota; Dothideomycetes; Pleosporales; Leptosphaeriaceae. The record is from RNAcentral.